RNAcentral lists this ribosomal RNA (450 nucleotides) under uncultured prokaryote. Its description in RNAcentral is "bacterial SSU rRNA". It matches the Rfam family "Bacterial small subunit ribosomal RNA", at positions 355 to 796 of the family's 1533-position model. The record is from RNAcentral.
UGGGGAAUAUUGGACAAUGGGCGCAAGCCUGAUCCAGCAAUGCCGCGUGUGUGAAGAAGGCCUGCGGGUUGUAAAGCACUUUCAGUAGAGAAGAAAAGCUUAGGGUUAAUACCCCUUGAGUCUUGACGUUACCUACAGAAUAAGCACCGGCUAACUCCGUGCCAGCAGCCGCGGUAAUACGGAGGGUGCGAGCGUUGUCCGGAUUUAUUGGGUUUAAAGGGUGCGUAGGCGGUUAUUUAAGUCAGUGGUGAAAACCCUGAGCUCAACUGAGGGCUUGCCAUUGAUACUGGAUAGCUUGAUUACCGUAUAGGUAGGCGGAAUUUAUGGUGUAGCGGUGAAAUGCAUAGAUACCAUAAAGAACACCGAUAGCGAAGGCAGCUUACUGGACGGCGAAUGACGCUGAUGCACGAAAGCGUGGGUAGCGAACGGGAUUAGAUACCCCGGUAGUCC